RNAcentral lists this ribosomal RNA (503 nucleotides) under uncultured Glomus. Its description in RNAcentral is "SSU rRNA". It matches the Rfam family "Eukaryotic small subunit ribosomal RNA", at positions 569 to 1078 of the family's 1831-position model. The record is from RNAcentral. Lineage: Eukaryota; Fungi; Glomeromycota; Glomeromycetes; Glomerales; Glomeraceae.
AGCAGCCGCGGUAAUUCCAGCUCCAAUAGCGUAUAUUAAAGUUGUUGCAGUUAAAAAGCUCGUAGUUGAAUUUCGGGGUCAGUAGAUUGGUCGUGCCACUGGUAUGCACUGGUCUUACUGGCUCCUCCUUCCUGUGGAACCGUAAUGCCAUUAAGUUGGUGUUGCGGGAAAACAGGACUGUUACUUUGAAAAAAUUAGAGUGUUUAAAGCAGGCUAACGCUUGAAUACAUUAGCAUGGAAUAAUGAAAUAGGACGACGAUCCUAUUUUGUUGGUUUCUAGGAUUGACGUAAUGAUUAAUAGGGAUAGUUGGGGGCAUUAGUAUUCAAUUGUCAGAGGUGAAAUUCUUGGAUUUAUUGAAGACUAACUACUGCGAAAGCAUUUGCCAAGGAUGUUUUCAUUAAUCAAGAACGAAAGUUAGGGGACCGAAGACGAUCAGAUACCGUCGUAGUCUUAACCAUAAACUAUGCCGACUAGGGAUCGGAUGAUGUUAAUUUUUAAUGUA